Molecule: transfer RNA, 55 nt
Filed under: Philometroides sanguineus
Lineage: Eukaryota; Metazoa; Nematoda; Chromadorea; Rhabditida; Philometridae
Description: tRNA-Pro
Source: RNAcentral
UCGACAGGAAGUUACAGAGGAAUAUAAAGUUUGGGGCUUUAAGGGUUAAUUGUCG